RNA transcript from Grus americana (Whooping crane), 6232 nucleotides. It is a transcript of the gene named DExH-box helicase 34, with no coding region annotated. The transcript has 18 exons. Lineage: Eukaryota; Metazoa; Chordata; Aves; Gruiformes; Gruidae. The record is from RefSeq and is a predicted model, not a curated record.
GCCUGGUCGGUGAGUUCGGGCCCGGGCCGGGCCUUGGGCGGCGGGUACGGGCCUGGGUGGGCCCGGCUCCGGGGCAGCGGUUGCUGGGGAGGCAGCGGAGCCGGAGAGAGGCCUGCUGGGCCGGGGUCGCGUAGGAAAUUUGGUUCCGGUCCUCGGUUCCGGAACUGGCUGCCCCACUGCAGAAAUGCCGCCAGAGAAGGAGAGCAGAUCCCGUCGGCGAGAGCGGGACCUUUCUCCUUCCCAGUGGGAUUGGGACUGCCCCGCCACGCGACGCCGGCUGGAAGAGCUGUAUUUCCGCGAGCAGGAUUACAUCGGAGCCGGCUCCGAGGAUGGCCGCAAUUUCUGGCUUUUCUUUGAGCGGCUCCGGCGUUUCCAGAGCCGGAGAACCGACCACGAACCAACCCCCGGCCACCACGACCAGGCAGAACCCCCCGCCGCCGCCCGUCGCCUCGAUUUACCGCGCCGAUAUGAUCCCCGGUACCGCAUCAACCUCUCGGUGCUGAGCGCCGACAUGGAGGGAGCGAUCCGAGGCCGGCGAGGAGACUCCGGCGUGCCGCAGGAACGCCUCUCUGAAUUUCGCACCGCUUUGUUGCACUACCUGGACUUCACCCAAAAACAAAGCUUUGCCAAACUGGCCAAACUCCAACGGGAACGAGCUGCGCUUCCCAUCUCUCAGUACCGGGACCGGCUCCUGCGCGCCGUGGCUCAAAACCAAGUGGUGGUGAUCGCCGGUGAUACCGGCUGCGGUAAAUCCACGCAGGUGCCUCAGUUCUUGCUGGCGGCCGGUUAUAGCCACGUGGCUUGUACCCAACCUCGCCGUAUCGCCUGCAUCUCGCUGGCCAAGCGGGUGGGUUUCGAGAGCCUGCACCAGUAUGGAAACCAGGUGGGCUACCAGAUCCGCUUCGAGAGCACCCGCUCGCCCGCCACCAAGAUUGUUUUCCUGACGGAGGGGCUGCUGCUGCGGCAGGUACAGCGGGAGCCGACGUUGCCCGGGUACCACGUCCUGAUUGCUGAUGAGGUUCACGAGCGGCAUCUGCACAGCGAUUUCCUCUUGGGUGUCCUGCGGCGGCUCCUUCCCGCUCGGCCGGACCUUAAGUUGGUGCUGAUGUCGGCGACCAUCAAUAUCCGCCUUUUUUCAGGGUACUUUGGAGGUGCCCCAGUGCUGCAGGUGCCGGGAAGGAUCUUUCCCAUCUCGGUCAUUUACCAACCCAUCCCUAAGGAAGAAGCAUCCGCGAUCGGGAAAUCGGGGAAAUCGGAGCGCCUGGAUCCCCUCCCGUACCUGCGGGUGCUUCAAGCCAUCGACCACAAGUACCCGCCGGAGGAACGCGGGGACCUGCUGGUGUUCCUGAGCGGGGUGGCCGAGAUCGGCGCGGUGCUGGAGGCGGCGCAGGCUUAUGCCGCGCAUACGCAGCGUUGGAUUGUGCUCCCCCUGCACAGCACCCUCUCUGUUGCCGAGCAGGACAAGGUGUUUGAUGUGCCUCCUCCCGGCGUCCGUAAGUGCAUCCUCUCCACCAACAUCGCAGAGACCUCGGUGACAAUUGACGGCGUGCGAUUUGUCCUGGAUUCUGGGAAGGUGAAGGAGAUGAGCUACGACCCUCAGGGCAAACUUCAGCGACUGCAGGAGUUCUGGAUCAGCCGGGCAAGCGCCGAGCAGCGGAAAGGACGGGCUGGCAGGACCGGCCCCGGCGUCUGCUACCGGCUUUAUGCCGAAUCCGACUACGACGCCUUUUCCCCCUAUCCCGUGCCGGAGAUCCAGAGGGUAGCGCUUGAUUCUCUAGUGCUCCAGUUAAAGAGCAUGGGGCUGGGUGAUCCCCGGACCUUCCCCUUCCUGGAGCCGCCUCCCUCGUCCAGCCUGGAGACGGCCGUGCGAUACCUGAAGGACCAGGGAGCCCUGGACGAGGCUGAAGACUUGACGCCCAUCGGGAACCUGCUGGCCCAGCUGCCAGUGGACGUGGUGGUCGGCAAGAUGCUGGUCCUGGGUGCGCUGUUUGGACUGGCCGAGCCCACCUUGACCGUGGCGGCGGCGUUGAGCGUGCAAUCCCCUUUCCUGCGACCUGCUCACCCCAACCCCGACUGCGUCACGGCCCGUCGGCCCCUCGAGAGCCCCCAUGGUGACCCUCUGACGCUGCUCAACGUCUUCAACGAGUGGGUCCAGGUGAAAUCAGAACGGAGCGGCAGCUCUCGGAAAUGGUGCCGGCGGCGAGGCUUGGAGGAGCAUCGGCUUUAUGAGGCCGCCGACCUGCGGCGCCAGUUUCAGGAGCUUCUUCGAGACCACCAGCUGCUUGAGGAAACCUCCAGCCGACCCAGCGACAGCUACAGCCGACAGAGCCGGCACCGGGAACGCCGCGAGCUGCACCGGCUGUGGCGUUCCCACGCGGAGACGGAGGGUCGGAAACGCAAAGUGCUGCGGCUGCAGGAUGGAGCGGAUGCCUCUUCCGGUGAGGAGGAGGACGGUGGCACCCGUGGGAAGGGGGAGCGCAGCAUCGAUAUCCAGGAUGUCAAGUUCAAGCUGCGCCACAACGUGGAUGAGCUCCAGGCUGUAUCCAGCUCGUCCCUCUCCUCCUCACAGCUUGCCCUGCUCAAGCUGGUGCUGUGCAGGGGCCUUUACCCCCAGCUGGCCGUGCCCGACCAGCUCAACAGCGGCCGCAAGGACUCCGAUCAGAUUUUCCACACCAAAAACAAGCAAGGCGUCGUGCUUCAUCCCACCUGCGUCUUCGCUACCAGCCCGGAGCUGCUCCACGCCAAGGAGGGACCGGAACGUGGUGGGAUCGCAGACCCCAAAGAGGGGCUGAGCCGCCACCACCAGCUCCUCGCCUUUGUCUCGCUGCUGGAGACCAACAAACCUUACCUGGUGAACUGCGUCCGGGUACCAGCCCUACAGGCUCUCCUGCUCUUCUCCCGUUCGUUGGACACCAGCGCGGACUGCGCCCGGCUGGUAGCGGAUGGAUGGCUGGAGCUCACCAUCCCCGAUGCGGAUUCUGCCCUGCGCCUCCUCUCCAUGGCCCUGCAGCUUCGCUCCUCCUGGGAAAAACUCCUCCACCAGCUACUGGAACGUCGUGGCGAGGAGCCGGGCCUCCGGCCGAGCUCCCGGGAUGUAUCCGUGCUCACCCGGGGGCUGCUGGAAUUCCUGCAGACGGAGGUGCCGUAUCGCCUGCGUCAGCUCACCGGGCUGGAGAAACAGAAUCUCUACAUCGGUCCCCAAACUGUUGCUGCUGCUCCCCAACUCCCAGGGCUUUUCCAGGGAACGGAGAUGAAGCCCGACGAGGUGAAAGGUGGCCACAGGGUGACGGACUUUCUCACCUACAACUGCCUGGCUACGGACACGGAUCUCUACAGCGACUGCCUGCGGAGCUUCUGGACGUGUCCCCACUGCGAUCUCCACAUGCCCUUCACCCCCCUGGAGCGCAUGUGCCAUGAAAACGCUUGCCGGCCCUCCGAGGCCCCCCAGGAAGAAGCAGCCGAAAGCUCGUCCAAAAACUCCUCCCUGCACAGGUCCUACCACUGCGACGUUUGCCAGCAGGAUUUCACCUUCACCCCCACGGAGAUCCUUCGGCACAAGAAGCAACACCGGUGACCGGGGGCUCGUCGGGAUGCUCCCGCCAACCGGUGGCGGAGACGAUGCUGAGCACCAUGACGCUGGGGUCCUUUCCCAGCCCUGGGGAGAAGCGGGGGACCCCCAUAACGGAGGGGGGAACCCCCUUUUGCUGCUACCUGUGUUGCUCUCGGGCUGAAUUUCUGAGCUUCAAAUCCCACCAACCGACCCUCGUGCGUCGCCUUUACUGGAUUAAAAACAAGCCGCUAAUAUCGAGACGGCCGUUUCUUUGGGAGCCAACAACUCUGCAUCAAACCACCUCUUAAAACUCCUUUAAUUAGCGAUGGAAGAAGUUUGCUGACCUAGGGGAAAAAAAAAAAAUAAAAUCACAGGGGCCGAGCGCUCCCAAGGAAAGCGUAAAGCUUAAAUGAAACAAAAAUAAUAAUGAUUAACAAGCAGAUGAGAUUUUUGCCUUUGCAAAUGAGGGCUUCUUCCCAGCGACGGUGAGCAGAGAGGUUGGUUUAUUUUUAAAAUUUAAUCUCAAUUUGCACACACCGAGCAAUUACCCAGCCACCCUCUUCAACCCCGCUGAAUGACCUCAUUUGUUCUUUGCAAUUUUUGGUUGUUAUUAUUUGCCCAGAGGCCGAGGUAAGCGCAUUGGCCUCUAAUGGAAGCCAAUUGCGUGGUGUUUGGGAAUAAUUAAAUUAAUUGUUCGAGAGGUCGAGUGGGAAGGGGAGGAGGGUCUGUACCUAUUAAAAAUGAGUUUGGAGCGGGUAGGAAGAUGCAGGAGUGAAGCUCUGCCGGUUCAGCUCCGAGCCAGCAAACCUCAUCCCAUCCUGCUCCUCCCUCGGCAUCUUUUUGGGGUUCCUGAGAAAUCCCAGUUUAUCCGCAGGAAUCCGUCUUUUCCAGCCUUAAAAUUCAGAGCUGGCAGCCAGAUUUAACAGCAGAAAUUUGUCUUCUCUUCUCCAACCUUAGAAUUUACAGAUUUCCAAGCAGAAAUUCACUCCCCUCCUGUCCUUUAGGUUGUGCGUGCUGGGGAAGUAUAUCGUUAAUAAUUAUAUAAUUAAUGACCCAGUAAUGGGUGGAAAUGCUGACUCGGCAUCCUCCAGAGAUUUAUGGUUUUCCCGUGUGUGAUUUCUCCCCCUGGAUACAACGUGCCUCAGCCUCGGGUGAAAUACCGACCUGAAGGUGGCAAAAAACUCUUCCAGCUAAAUUCUGCCAAUUUUCUGCCGGUAAUGUAAUGGAAGCAGGGAUAUAUAUAUUUUUUUUUUUUUUUUUUAAACUGAGAUCUAAAUAAUUUCCGUAAGAGAAAAGGGAUCUAAGUCAUUUGCCCAUGGAAGAUGCUUUCAAGAGGGAACUUCUCGGCUUCUUCCAUGCUCUUAUGUGUUACUUUACAAUUAUAAGGUGUGAAAUGCGAUUAUAAGGUAAAUAAAUGUCGUGGCAGUCAUGCGACCGCUCGACAUCACUGCCGUGGCAAAGCGGGGAUCCCAAGCUCUCCCCCAAAAGCAAACCAGAGCCAAGAGUUUUGUUAUUCCUACCACUCUGCUUCUUCCGUUCCCAAAUCUGCUGUUUGAUUUGUCCGUUCCAAUAGUUGCCACGGGUUUUUUGCUAAUAAAAAUAUAUAAGAUAUUGGCUAAUGCCGCUCCUUGAGGGACCUUCUGGGUUUGGGCUUUUGGAUGUUGUACAAGACCCAGCCCAGGCAUCUCGUGCUGUUUCGCAGCCUGCAGAGAGCAGCCUUACCUCUUUGAUGGAAAUCUCCAACCUUUCCUCUACUCUUUAUUAAAAUACUGAAAAUCGGGCAAAAUUCAAGCAUCCCGUUCUUUCCCUUAUGCUGUGACCCACCACUGAGAGAUGAAGGCUCCCCAAAGGUCCCAAAAUUGUCUGAUCAAGCAGGAGAUAAAAAAAAAAAUCCUUUUUUUUCUUUCUUGAUCCCUUUGUGCUUUGCGUUGCGUGGAGCGUGAAUAAAAAAAAUCAUGGUUUUCGGGGAAAGAUUAUCACAUUAUCAUGUGAGUGCAGAACUUGGGACUUUAUAAAGCAUCCUGAGACCUAUAGCAAAAUGAUGAGAUUUGGUUCCUGCUCAUGAUCUACUUAUAAGGACUCAAGUGAACGAGCCAAAAAUCACAGGAAACACGGCAGUUUGGGCUAUUUAUGCUAUUUAUUGAGGAUCCAAUCCUCCUGCUAGUAUCAGGACAACCUUUCAGGACCACUGUCUGCUGCUGGAGUCCCUCCUACCCCAUAGACCUUGACGUGUCAACCAUCAGCAACGUCAUACCUGACUGGCAACCCUGCAGCCAACGCAGCACCACGCGACCAACCCUGAUGAUGGAAGAAGGCUCGGAGAAGAUGGAGAAGGAUGAUGCGCUCAUGAAGCUCAGAGAAGAAAGUAGGAGGUGAUCACAGCUACUGCACAGAGAACUGAACUUACCUCAACACGAGAAGAACCAAGGGUGGCCUUUGUUGUCAAUAAACGGCUCCAUCAAUUGAGUUGGCCAACUGGCCUUCCCUAAAAUAAUCCAUAGAAAGAAUUGUCUCCCUGAGCAAGCCGGACCGACGUGGGGGAAGGUUACAUGUGGCUCAGCCCAACAGAGUAUAAAAAUAAACCAACCAGCAAAAUGAGCUUUGAAGAGAGCUUCGACCCAUGUCGUCCUUCCCGUUGACUUGGGACACCCAGUGUCAUGCUGGGCAGCAUCUAGAGGCCAG